RNAcentral lists this ribosomal RNA (274 nucleotides) under uncultured bacterium. RNAcentral's name for it is "partial 16S ribosomal RNA". It matches the Rfam family "Bacterial small subunit ribosomal RNA", at positions 523 to 796 of the family's 1533-position model. The record is from RNAcentral.
AUACGGAGGGUGCAAGCGUUAUCCGGAAUCAUUGGGUUUAAAGGGUCCGUAGGCGGACUAUUAAGUCAGAGGUGAAAUCCCACAGCUCAACUGUGGAACUGCCUUUGAUACUGGUAGUCUUGAGUUAUAUGGAAGUAGAUAGAAUGUGUAGUGUAGCGGUGAAAUGCAUAGAUAUUACACAGAAUACCGAUUGCGAAGGCAGUCUACUACGUAUAUACUGACGCUAAGGGACGAAAGCGUGGGGAGCGAACAGGAUUAGAUACCCCUGUAGUCC